Molecule: ribosomal RNA, 456 nt
Filed under: Triticum aestivum (bread wheat)
Lineage: Eukaryota; Viridiplantae; Streptophyta; Magnoliopsida; Poales; Poaceae
Description: partial small subunit ribosomal RNA
Source: RNAcentral
AUGACCAACACCAAAUUUAUUUGUAUCAACGACCACCACGAUGUAGAAGACGUUGGUCUAUGUCAAGUUAUGGCAGCUUCACUUGAUAACAGGAUGCAUCCUAAUCAGGAGAAUAUUAAGGUUCAACCAGAGUCAACGGUUGGUGUUGUGCCAAAAUAUGGGAUGCGCGCUAUGGAAGGGAAGAACUCCUUCACAUGCACGUUUGAAGGUUUGCAACAACUUGAUUGUUUGUUUAUGUUGUCACGUGCAGAGCAAGACCCAGCUGUAUGUGUACGAGAGAUAUAUUUUAUUGAGACUAAGCAAAGAAUCCUAAUCAGCUACUACUUCUCCCGAUCAAGACCGCCAGAGCAAGCGUACGCCAGCAUGUUUGAUCGGUGGAAAUUGCUUUCCUUGAGAGACAUUGGAUGGGGGCCACCCAAUAAUUUGUAUUUAAUAAUUUUAGUAUUUAAUGUGUAA